Molecule: ribosomal RNA, 441 nt
Filed under: uncultured bacterium
Lineage: Bacteria
Description: bacterial SSU rRNA
Rfam family: Bacterial small subunit ribosomal RNA
Source: RNAcentral
AACGAACGCUGGCGGCAGGCCUAAUACAUGCAAGUCGAACGCACCGCAAGGUGAGUGGCAGACGGGUGAGUAACGCGUGGGAACCUUCCUAGUAGUACGGAAUAACUCCGGGAAACCGGUGCUAAUACCGUAUAAGCCCUCCGGGGGAAAGAUUAUCGCUACUAGAUGGGCCCGCGUCGGAUUAGCUUGUUGGUGAGGUAAUGGCUCACCAAGGCUUCGAUCCGUAGCUGGUCUGAGAGGAUGAUCAGCCACACUGGGACUGAGACACGGCCCAGACUCCUACGGGAGGCAGCAGUAGGGAAUAUUGGACAAUGGGCGAAAGCCUGAUCCAGCCAUGCCGCGUGAGUGAAGAAGGCCUUAGGGUUGUAAAGCUCUUUUGGCGGGGAAGAUAAUGACGGUACCCGCAGAAUAAGCUCCGGCUAACUUCGUGCCAGCAGCCGC